ACAGAAGCCACCCUGUAGACCAGCCCUGCCACUACCAAAACCACACAAACCUCACAUAUCAGUAUAGCUUGGAUAUUAAUAGCAUAGCUGAUCUUAAAAUUUCAAAUUUGUGUAGGCUGAGUAACAGUUGUUUAGGGUGCAAAAAUGCAUAGUUUGAAAUAUCCUCAUGUAAAUGUCUUAAAGCUUUGCAAGUCACAGACAAAAUGUUAAGAAGAUAAGAAGGAAUCAUUCUAUGGAAGUUUCUGUUUCUCUACUAGCAAAGGAAGACCAGAGAACAACAUUUCCUAGACCUUCAUCAGAGACAAUCCUGAAGGAAAAGACACAUCUACAUGAGUUCACUAAAUGCCUGGCACUGGAACCAGGUGACAUGGUGCAGCUUGUGCCUAGGCUGGCAAUUUACCCUGCCACACUUAUAUUCUGUCUGCACGCCAUGUGGCACAAGCCCCAACACGGCUCACAAUAUAUAUUUCCUGACAACAAAGACUGAAAACAAGAUUUAUGCCCACCAGAGCUCUUCCAGGGGCUAACUUCUUUAUCCAAUCUGAUGGCAAUGGAAUCAUGGAAAAAUGGUCUUGUGGCAAAAAGCCUUCUGGCCUGCAUUAGGAGAAGCACUUUCAGCAGGUUGAGGCAGCAAUUCAUCACGUCCUGUGAGGGAGGAGGUGCUCCUUCCCCAUGCUGAAGUUGCAUUUAGUGUCCUGAGUCCAGGUCCAGGCUGUCCAACCCAAGAGAGACAUGAACAUCCUAGAGCUGGUUGAUGGAGGAUUUAGCCAUAGUCAAGAAAAGAGAGCUGGAAGUGUUCAGCCUGGAGAGAAGUCUGCAAAAGAGACUCAGUCUGCAAAAACAUUUGAUGAGGGGCAACAAAGAAGUUAAAGCCAGACUCUUCUGACAGGUGACAGGAUGAGUCAAGGGACACAAACUGAAAUAAAUGAAAUUGCAUUUCAACA
RNAcentral lists this long non-coding RNA (944 nucleotides) under Lonchura striata (white-rumped munia). Its description in RNAcentral is "domestica (Bengalese finch) lncRNA (ENSLSDG00000017475.1)". Lineage: Eukaryota; Metazoa; Chordata; Aves; Passeriformes; Estrildidae. The record is from RNAcentral.